Molecule: ribosomal RNA, 376 nt
Filed under: uncultured bacterium
Lineage: Bacteria
Description: bacterial SSU rRNA
Rfam family: Bacterial small subunit ribosomal RNA
Source: RNAcentral
UAAUACGAAGGGGGCUAGCGUUGCUCGGAAUGACUGGGCGUAAAGGGCGCGUAGGCGGUGAACACAGUUAGACGUGAAAUUCCCGGGCUCAACCUGGGGGCUGCGUUUAAUACAUGUUCGCUUGAGUUCGGAAGAGGGUCGUGGAAUUCCCAGUGUAGAGGUGAAAUUCGUAGAUAUUGGGAAGAACACCGGUGGCGAAGGCGGCGACCUGGUCCGAUACUGACGCUGAGGCGCGAAAGCGUGGGGAGCAAACAGGAUUAGAUACCCUGGUAGUCCACGCCGUAAACGAUGUGUGCUGGAUGUUGGGUGGCCUAGCCAUUCAGUGUCGUAGCUAACGCGAUAAGCACACCGCCUGGGGAGUACGGCCGCAAGGUUG